CCUACGGGGGGCAGCAGUGAGGAAUAUUGCACAAUGGUCGGGACACUGAACCAGCCAAGCCGCGUGAGGGAUGAAGGUACAGAGUUUCUUAAACCUCUUUUGUCAGGGAACAAAGGCGGGGACGUGUCCCCGGAUGAGUGUACCUGACGAAAACGCAUCGGCUAACUCCGUGCCAGCAGCCGCGGUAAUACGGAGGAUGCGAGCGGUAUCCGGAUUUAUUGGGUUUAAAGGGUGCGCAGGCGGUUUGUUAAGUCAUAGGUCAAAGGCCGGGGCUCAAACUGCGGCCGCCGUUUGAACCUGGCAGACUCGAGUUGGAGAGAAGUAUGCGGAAUGCGCGGUGUAGCGGUGAAAUGCGUAGAGAUCGGGCAGAACUCCGAUGGCGAAGGCAGCAUGCCGGCUCCACACUGACGCUGAGGCACGAAAGCGUGGGUAUCGAACAGGAUUAGAUACCCGGGUAGU
This 459-nucleotide ribosomal RNA is filed under the name uncultured bacterium. Its description in RNAcentral is "partial 16S ribosomal RNA". It matches the Rfam family "Bacterial small subunit ribosomal RNA", at positions 338 to 794 of the family's 1533-position model. The record is from RNAcentral.